AUUGAACGCUGGCGGCAGGCCUAACACAUGCAAGUCGAACGAGUGGCGGACGGGUGAGUAAUGUCUGGGAAACUGCCUGCUGGAGGGGGGUAACUACUGGACACGGUAGCUAAUACCGCAUACCAUCAGAUGUGCCCAGAUGGGAUUCGCUGGUUGGUUGGGUAACGGCUCACCAAGGCGACGAUCCCUAGCUGGUCUGAGAGGAUGACCAGCCACCCUGGAACUGAGACACGGUCCAGACUCCUACGGGAGGCAGCAGUGGGGAAUAUUGCACAAUGGGCGCAAGCCUGAUGCAGCCAUGCCGAGUUGAGGAAGAAGGCCUUCGGGUUGUAAAGUACUUUCAGCGGGGAGGCGUUACCCGCAGAAGAAGCACCGGCUAACUCCGUGCCAGCAGCCGCGGUAAUAC
This 406-nucleotide ribosomal RNA is filed under the name uncultured bacterium. RNAcentral's name for it is "partial 16S ribosomal RNA". It matches the Rfam family "Bacterial small subunit ribosomal RNA", at positions 30 to 526 of the family's 1533-position model. The record is from RNAcentral.